Long non-coding RNA from Centropristis striata (black sea bass), 1253 nucleotides. RefSeq lists it as uncharacterized. The record is from RefSeq and is a predicted model, not a curated record. NCBI's taxonomy places the organism in Eukaryota, Metazoa, Chordata, Actinopteri, Perciformes, Serranidae. The transcript has 2 exons.
CGCAUGGUCUCAGUAGCAGUCGCAGGUUCGCAUGGAGUUACUGGUUCACAUGGUAUCAACGGCGGAGUUACUGGUUCACAUGGUCUCAUUUCUGUGCUGAAUUGAUGCGCCAUGCUCCAUCGUCCGUCAAAAAUAGAAGCUCUGUGCAAGUUUUGCCAGGGCUGAUGGAUGGCGGUGCGACGACGGACUCACUACGCAGUGGAUCUGGAGUCGGUGGAACCUCACACAGUGAUUAUAAUUAAUGCGUAUUGGCUCCGCCGACAGAUCUGCAGCCAUUAUGCAUGCAGUGGAAUUUAGGGGUAACAGGAUACAUAAUUUGUUGGUGAGUGACUUGGACACCCUCUCUUCUGUAAAGUUCAACCGAAUGGGUGUAAUACUCCAUAAAUACAACAGAGUACACAUUACCUCUGGAAGUCUAUGAGAAAGAGCCCAUGAAAUCCAGGGUCUUUAUGAAGCUGCAAUUUCCCUGCUUUUCUUAAUUUGUAUUAUUAGCAGAGCUGAGCCCAAUCAACACCUAUAUAGCAAAGCACUGUUUUAUAGGUCUUGUAUUUUUUGAAGAUAUCCUGAUAUUGAAUUCUCAUUAAACAUUCCAGGAAGGAGUUCUCAGAGACAUCCUGGUAUGUAGACUUGCUAGAUGGUUUCAUCUGAAGGAGUUCCAAGAUGGCACAGUGGAUGGCAGCUUCAAAACAUGGAUCACCUCGUUCCACGACGCUGGACUGCACUAUGAGAGGGCACGAAUAUCAAGCCUUUGUGGGAUCACUAUGAACGCCCUAAGGCGAAAAGCUGGGACAGAUCUUUCCGGCAAUAUAGCGGGACAUUUGCAGGACGGCACUAUGAAAGAGGCUUCUUUGCCUUCUGUGAUAUCUGACUUCCAGCACCGACAAAGUGACCGAUAUCUCUUUGAAUGGACUGACCCCAUAGUACAUCAAGGACCUCAUCCAAAUCUAUACUCCAUCGCUCAAAUUGAGGUCCGAGGGCCAGCUCCAGCCCGUGGUGCCUAGAGCGAAAUUUAAAACCAGGGGGGACAGGGCUUUCUCUGUGGUGGUCCCCAGACUUUGGAAUGCCCUCCCCCUCCAUGUCCCAACAGCCCCCACGGUGGAGUGCUUUAAGUCUCGUCUUAAGACCCAUUUUUAUUCCCUGGCUUUUUAACUUUGCGUGAGUUUUGUGGUCCUCUGUGUCUUUUAUUUCUUUGACUACUUCAAACUAUGUCUUUUAUUUAUUUUACUAUCUGUUUGAUUUUAUUGUUUUAUUUA